This 26-nucleotide non-coding RNA is filed under the name Bombyx mori (domestic silkworm). The record is from RNAcentral. Lineage: Eukaryota; Metazoa; Arthropoda; Insecta; Lepidoptera; Bombycidae.
CAAGAGAUGACGUGACGGCUCUGAAA